UGUAAAUUGGGGGACCUAUAUGUAAAUAUAGAAAUUACAAGGACUAAACUGCUAAGUUGCAAAAAGAAAAAAAAAAGAAAAGGAAAAACCGAAAAUUCGGUAUUAUCCCACCGCCUCCCACGCACUCUGUUUCUUUCCAGAAACAGAGAGAGCGGUGGGGCGUGAGGAGAAGAAGGAGAGUGGUUGAAGAAAAGAAGAAGAAGAGGGAAAAGAAGAGAGGAGGAAGAAGAGAGGAAGAAGAGGGAGAAGAGAAGAAGAUGAAGAAGAAGAAGAAGAAGAAGAAGAAGAGAGGAUGAUAGCUGCGGCAAGGCUGCAGCGAGGAGGUGUGUGGGGUUGGGGAGGAAAAGGGAAGAGGAGAAGAAAAGAAGGAGAAGAAGAGGGAAAAGAGAGGGAAGAGGGAGAGGAGCGAGAGGUGGCAGCAGCUAGGGCUGCAGCACCUCUGUUUCCUGCAGGUGGAAACAGAGGAGAGGUGGGGCGUUCGAAGAGGAGAAGAAGAAGAAGAAGGAAGAGAAGAGGAAGAGGAAGCAGGAGAAGAGGUUGUGAUACCUCUGUUUCCUGCAGAGGAAACAGAGGAGAGGGUGUGUGUGACGUCGGGGAGAAGAAGGGGAGGAAGGAGAAGAAGAGAAGAAGAAGAAAGGAAGGAGAGGAAGAAGAGAAGGGAAAGGAGGAGCUGCGGCUGCGACAGUGGCAGUUGCAGCUGGAAGAGAAGGAGAGGAAGAGAUGGUGAGGAAGAAGAGAAGAAGUAGAAGCGGGUGAAGAGGCGGCACCUCUGUUUCCUGCAGGAGGAAACAGAGGAAAGGAGGUGCUGUUCGUCGGGGAGAAGAAGGGGGCUGCAGCUGCGGCGAUGGCAGCUGCAGCUGGAAGAGAAGAAGAAGAGGAAGAUGAGCAGGGGAGGAGGGAGAGGUUGCGGCCGUGGCUGCGGCCGCGACUGCAGCAGUUGCAGCGGGGAGAGAAGAAGAAGAAUGGAAGGAGAGGGAAGAGGAGAAGGGAAAGAAGUAGCUGCGGCUACGGUUGUGGCAGCUGCAGCUGUGGCAGGGAAAGAGGAAGAGAAAAAGGAAAGGAAGAAGAAGAGAAAGGGAAGGAGAGGAAGAAGAGAGGAAGAGGAGAAGGGGCUGCGGCUGCGGCGAUGGCAGCUGCAGCUGUGGCUGGGAAAGAAGAGAAGGAAAGGAAGAAGAAGAGAAAGGGAAGGAGAGGAAGAAGAGAGGAAGAGGAGAAGGGGUGGCAGCUGCGGCAGUGGCAGCUGCAGCUGGAAGAGGAGGAGGAAAUAGAGCAGGGGAGGAAGAAGAGGCUGCGAGUGUGGUGGCUGCGGCCGUGGCUGCGACUCCGGCUGCGGCUGCGACGUUGGCUGCGGCAGCGGUGGUGGCUGCAGUAGCUGCAGUAGCUGCUUUUGGGAAAGAGAAAGAGUAGGAACGAGAGAAGGGAAGAAGGAAAUAGUGCAGUGGAAGGGGGCUGCGGUUGUGACCGCAGUUGCGAUUGUGGCAGCUGCGGCGGCUGUGGCAGCUGCGUUUGGGAAAGAAAAAGAAGGAAUGAGAGUAAGAGAGAGCAGGUGACUGUGCCUCGAUGUUCGACACGUGGUGUAGUUGCGAAGAAAGGAAGAAAACGGGAGCACAAAACGAAACAGAGAGAGGACACGGAGGAAAAGUAGAAGGAUUUGGGCUGGCACCUUCUUUGGAUCUUCGGAUCGAAAUCUUUGAAAGGUCAGCUUGUUACUCUUCGAGAUGUUUGAUUUGGGCUGAGGCAGUGGAUAGCUAUUCAGAAUGAUGGGCAAGUCUGGUUGGUUAUUACGAUAUUGUUGUAUAAGUAUGUUUUGUAUGUAAUGAAAUGUUGUCGAUGAACCGAAAUGGAUAUACUGUGUCAAAGUGUUAGGAGAUAUCUCUUAUUUGGAAUUUCUGAAUGUUAAGCCUAAUUUAUAAUGAUAUGAACUUGUGGUGAAUAGUUAGAGUUCUGAUUGUAUAAAUUAUUUAGCUUGUGGAUUUAUAAAUAUUGUUCAUGUUUGUCAAGUUGGCUUGGGUUGCCAUAAAUGUGAAUUAUUGAGUGAUGUGAUAUAUGAUUAUAAACUGCACAGGUUUUAUGGAUGUGAAUAUGAAUAGAAUGUUUUUCAAUGUCCUCAAACGUUAGUUUGGAUCCUGGAUUGGUCUGUGAUGAAAAAUUUUAAAAAUCAUGGAUAUUUUGAGGGGCGUGACAGAGGUGGUAUCAGAGCAUUGUUUGAGGAUUACUGAAAUAUUUGAUAUGUUGACGUGCAAAAUAUAUUGAGGUCUAAUGAACUAUAGUGAUUGGUGGAAAUUUUCUUUGAUGUAUUUUAGGAAUCUGGGAUGAUGAGGAUAUUUGGUCCUCCUAUUUCAUUGUUUCUUAUUAAUUAAGGGGAAUGAAAGGAUUGAUUGGGGAUAUUGAAUCAGAGUGGCGCAGCGGAAGCAUGGUGGACCUAACUUCAUUGGUGGUAGAAAAAUGAAUGAUGCAAACAGAGAAGAUAUUUGAUGUACAAAAUUGUUUUGAUGAUCAAAAGAUUUCUUUUGCCACGUUAUAUUAGAAGUAAAGACUUAUUAUUGACGGCAACAAUGAAAAGAAUUUUUGAAGAUCAAUGGCAAGAAUGACAAGAACAAGUUUACCAAUAAAAAUAUGAUUGGAAAUGAAUCAAUAAGUAACAACAAGAGAGUCAAGACAUUUUGAUUUGAAAUGGGAAGUCACCACAAAAGACUCAAUCAGGUGUGAAUUGCAAGUUAAAUUAUGAAACAAGUUUAUGUUUGUGCGUGACUAGAGCCUAUUUUGCUUAUGGAAAGUUUGAUCAUAAAAUAAAAGUUUGCCCUUUGAACAAGAAGAAAGAGUCACUGCCUCCUAAAUCAUCAGCCCAUGUCAGAGUGUAUGCUAUCACUGAAUAUGAUUCUAAGACUUCUGAAUUAGUGGUCGAAGGUAUUAUGUAUGUUUAUGAAAGAAUGCAAAUAUUUGUUUGAACAUGGGUUCUAUCUACGAUUUGAUUCGUAACAUAUUGCCUAUCACUUGGGUAUUCAACCUAGACCACUGUAUUAUGUGAUAUAUGUAAGUACAAUCAUUGGAGAUUCUUUGAUAAUGAACUUGAAUCUGGUCCUCUUGUCUGAUUUUUGUUGGAGAACUUGAACUUUUGCUGAUUUAGUUCUCCUAGAGAUUUGGAGUUAUGAUAUUAUACUUGGUAUGCAUUGGCUAUCUUCUUAUCAUACCUGUAUGGAUUGGUAUAUAACAAAUGAUCACUUUUUGCAUAUUUGAUCAGCCGAUCUUUUAUUUUGAGAGUAUUGGACAUUAUUUAUCUCCUUGCCUAAUGUAUCCCAGGAUGACUUGUUUGGAUUACCUCCAAAUGUGAUUUUGCUUUUGAUUUGGUCCUUGGGACAAUCCUAAAAUCUAAGCCUCUCUACAGAAAGAUAUCAUUUGAGUAAGUGGAAUUAGAAAAGCAACUACAAGGAUUAUUAAAUGAGGAUUUUAUUUGGCUUAAUAUUUCAUCAUGGGGUGCUCCGGUGUUAGUUAAAAGAUGGAUGGAACAUUGAGGCUUUGUAUUGAUUAUAGAUAGUUGAAUUAGGUGACCAUCAAAAAACGAGUAUUUUCUAAAGUGACCACUUGUUUGAUUAACUGUAGGGUGCACAGGUAUUUUAAAAGAUUGUUUGAAGGUCGGGUUACCAUCUAUUGAGGAUCAAGGAGGAGAAUAUUUCGGUCACUCUUGGAAAAUUGUGUAAUUGUAUUGAAUUGAUGAAAUUAUUUAAGAGUAGGAGGAGGAAAUAAAGAAAUCAUAAUCCUCAUCUUUUCAUCGAUUGAGCUAUGACCAAUUUAGAGGACUAAAUUUUCUUUUAAGGGGGGGAGAGUGUAAAAUCCCCCACUUUUAAAAAUGUAUUAAUAAGGAUUUAUAUGUAAAUUGGGGGACCUAUAUGUAAAUAUAGAAAUUACAAGGACUAAACUGCUAAGUUGCAAAAAGAAAAAAAAAAGAAAAGGAAAAACCGAAAAUUCGGUAUUAUCCCACCGCCUCCCAAGCACUCUGUUUCUUUCCAGAAAUAGAGAGAGCGGUGGGGCGUGAGGAGAAGAAGGAGAGUGGUUGAAGAAAAGAAGAAGAAGAGGGAAAAGAAGAGAGGAGGAAGAAGAGAGGAAGAAGAGAGGAAGAAGAGGGAGAAGAGAAGAAGAUGAAGAAGAAGAAGAAGAAGAAGAAGAAGAGAGGAUGAUAGCUGCGGCAAGGCUGCAGCGAGGAGGUGUGUGGGGUUGGGGAGGAAAAGGGAAGAGGAGAAGAAAAGAAGGAGAAGAAGAGGGAAAAGAGAGGGAAGAGGGAGAGGAGCGAGAGGCGGCAGCAGCUAGGGCUGCAGCACCUCUGUUUCCUGCAGGUGGAAACAGAGGAGAGGUGGGGCGUUCGAAGAGGAGAAGAAGAAGAAGAAGGAAGAGAAGAGGAAGAGGAAGCAGGAGAAGAGGUUGUGAUACCUCUGUUUCCUGCAGAGGAAACAGAGGAGAGGGUGUGUGUGACGUCGGGGAGAAGAAGGGGAGGAAGGAGAAGAAGAGAAGAAGAAGAAAGGAAGGAGAGGAAGAAGAGAAGGGAAAGGAGGAGCUGCGGCUGCGGCGGUGGCAGCUGCAGCUGGAAGAGAAGGAGAGGAAGAGAUGGUGAGGAAGAAGAGAAGAAGUAGAAGCGGGUGAAGAGGCGGCACCUCUGUUUCCUGCAGGAGGAAACAGAGGAAAGGAGGUGCUGUUCGUCGGGGAGAAGAAGGGGGCUGCAGCUGCGGCGAUGGCAGCUGCAGCUGGAAGAGAAGAAGAAGAGGAAGAUGAGCAGGGGAGGAGGGAGAGGUUGCGGCCAUGCCUGCGGCCGCGACUGCAGCAGUUGCAGCGGGGAGAGAAGAAGAAGAAAGGAAGGAGAAGGAAGAGGAGAAGGGAAAGAAGUAGCUGCGGCUGCGGUUGUGGCAGCUGCAGCUGUGGCAGGGAAAGAGGAAGAGAAAAAGGAAAGGAAGAAGAAGAGAAAGGGAAGGAGAGGAAGAAGAGAGGAAGAGGAGAAGGGGUGGCAGCUGCGGUAGUGGCAGCUGUAGCUGGAAGAGGAGGAGGAAAUAGAGCAGGGGAGGAAGAAGUGGCUGCGAGUGUGGUGGCUGCGGCCGUGGCUGCGACUCCGGCUGCGGCUGCGACGUUGGCUGCGGCAGCGGUGGUGGCUGCAGUAGCUGCAGUAGCUGCUUUUGGGAAAGAGAAAGAGUAGGAACGAGAGAAGGGAAGAAGGAAAUAGUGUAGUGGAUGGGGGCUGCGGUUGUGACCGCAGUUGCGAUUGUGGCAGCGGCGGCGGCUGUGGCAGCUGCGUUUGGGAAAGAAAAAGAAGGAAUGAGAGUAAGAGAGAGCAGGUGACUGUGCCUCGAUGUUCGACACGUGGUGUAGUUGCGAAGAAAGGAAGAAAACGGGAGCACAAAACGAAACAGAGAGAGGACACGGAGGAAAAGUAGAAGGAUUUGGGCUGGCACCUUCUUUGGAUCUUCGGAUCGAAAUCUUUGAAAGGUCAGCUUGUUACUCUUCGAGAUGUUUGAUUUGGGCUGAGGCAGUGGAUAGCUAUUCAGAAUGAUGGGCAAGUCUGGUUGGUUAUUACGAUAUUGUUGUAUAAGUAUGUUUUGUAUGUAAUGAAAUGUUGUCGAUGAACCGAAAUGGAUAUACUGUGUCAAAGUGUUAGGAGAUAUCUCUUAUUUGGAAUUUCUGAAUGUUAAGCCUAAUUUAUAAUGAUAUGAACUUGUGGUGAAUAGUUAGAGUUCUGAUUGUAUAAAUUAUUUAGCUUGUGGAUUUAUAAAUAUUGUUCAUGUUUGUCAAGUUGGCUUGGGUUGCCAUAAAUGUGAAUUAUUGAGUGAUGUGAUAUAUGAUUAUAAACUGCACAGGUUUUAUGGAUGUGAAUAUGAAUAGAAUGUUUUUCAAUGUCCUCAAACGUUAGUUUGGAUCCUGGAUUGGUCUGUGAUGAAAAAUUUUAAAAAUCAUGGAUAUUUUGAGGGGCGUGACAGAGGUGGUAUCAGAGCAUUGUUUGAGGAUUACUGAAAUAUUUGAUAUGUUGACGUGCAAAAUAUAUUGAGGUCUAAUGAACUAUAGUGAUUGGUGGAAAUUUUCUUUGAUGUAUUUUAGGAAUCUGGGAUGAUGAGGAUAUUUGGUCCUCCUAUUUCAUUGUUUCUUAUUAAUUAAGGGGAAUGAAAGGAUUGAUUGGGGAUAUUGAAUCAGAGUGGCGCAGCGGAAGCAUGGUGGACCUAACUUCAUUGGUGGUAGAAAAAUGAAUGAUGCAAACAGAGAAGAUAUUUGAUGUACAAAAUUGUUUUGAUGAUCAAAAGAUUUCUUUUGCCACGUUAUAUUAGAAGUAAAGACUUAUUAUUGACGGCAACAAUGAAAAGAAUUUUUGAAGAUCAAUGGCAAGAAUGACAAGAACAAGUUUACCAAUAAAAAUAUGAUUGGAAAUGAAUCAAUAAGUAACAACAAGAGAGUCAAGACAUUUUGAUUUGAAAUGGGAAGUCACCACAAAAGACUCAAUCAGGUGUGAAUUGCAAGUUAAAUUAUGAAACAAGUUUAUGUUUGUGCGUGACUAGAGCCUAUUUUGCUUAUGGAAAGUUUGAUCAUAAAAUAAAAGUUUGCCCUUUGAACAAGAAGAAAGAGUCACUGCCUCCUAAAUCAUCAGCCCAUGUCAGAGUGUAUGCUAUCACUGAAUAUGAUUCUAAGACUUCUGAAUUAGUGGUCGAAGGUAUUAUGUAUGUUUAUGAAAGAAUGCAAAUAUUUGUUUGAACAUGGGUUCUAUCUACGAUUUGAUUCGUAACAUAUUGCCUAUCACUUGGGUAUUCAACCUAGACCACUGUAUUAUGUGAUAUAUGUAAGUACAAUCAUUGGAGAUUCUUUGAUAAUGAACUUGAAUCUGGUCCUCUUGUCUGAUUUUUGUUGGAGAACUUGAACUUUUGCUGAUUUAGUUCUCCUAGAGAUUUGGAGUUAUGAUAUUAUACUUGGUAUGCAUUGGCUAUCUUCUUAUCAUACCUGUAUGGAUUGGUAUAUAACAAAUGAUCACUUUUUGCAUAUUUGAUCAGCCGAUCUUUUAUUUUGAGAGUAUUGGACAUUAUUUAUCUCCUUGCCUAAUGUAUCCCAGGAUGACUUGUUUGGAUUACCUCCAAAUGUGAUUUUGCUUUUGAUUUGGUCCUUGGGACAAUCCUAAAAUCUAAGCCUCUCUACAGAAAGAUAUCAUUUGAGUAAGUGGAAUUAGAAAAGCAACUACAAGGAUUAUUAAAUGAGGAUUUUAUUUGGCUUAAUAUUUCAUCAUGGGGUGCUCCGGUGUUAGUUAAAAGAUGGAUGGAACAUUGAGGCUUUGUAUUGAUUAUAGAUAGUUGAAUUAGGUGACCAUCAAAAAACGAGUAUUUUCUAAAGUGACCACUUGUUUGAUUAACUGUAGGGUGCACAGGUAUUUUAAAAGAUUGUUUGAAGGUCGGGUUACCAUCUAUUGAGGAUCAAGGAGGAGAAUAUUUCGGUCACUCUUGGAAAAUUGUGUAAUUGUAUUGAAUUGAUGAAAUUAUUUAAGAGUAGGAGGAGGAAAUAAAGAAAUCAUAAUCCUCAUCUUUUCAUCGAUUGAGCUAUGACCAAUUUAGAGGACUAAAUUUUCUUUUAAGGGGGGGAGAGUGUAAAAUCCCCCACUUUUAAAAAUGUAUUAAUAAGGAUUUAUAUGUAAAUUGGGGGACCUAUAUGUAAAUAUAGAAAUUACAAGGACUAAACUGCUAAGUUGCAAAAAGAAAAAAAAAAGAAAAGGAAAAACCGAAAAUUCGGUAUUAUCCCACCGCCUCCCACGCACUCUGUUUCUUUCCAGAAAUAGAGAGAGCGGUGGGGCGUGAGGAGAAGAAGGAGAGUGGUUGAAGAAAAGAAGAAGAAGAGGGAAAAGAAGAGAGGAGGAAGAAGAGAGGAAGAAGAGAGGAAGAAGAGGGAGAAGAGAAGAAGAUGAAGAAGAAGAAGAAGAAGAAGAAGAAGAGAGGAUGAUAGCUGCGGCAAGGCUGCAGCGAGGAGGUGUGUGGGGUUGGGGAGGAAAAGGGAAGAGGAGAAGAAAAGAAGGAGAAGAAGAGGGAAAAGAGAGGGAAGAGGGAGAGGAGCGAGAGGCGGCAGCAGCUAGGGCUGCAGCACCUCUGUUUCCUGCAGGUGGAAACAGAGGAGAGGUGGGGCGUUCGAAGAGGAGAAGAAGAAGAAGAAGGAAGAGAAGAGGAAGAGGAAGCAGGAGAAGAGGUUGUGAUACCUCUGUUUCCUGCAGAGGAAACAGAGGAGAGGGUGUGUGUGACGUCGGGGAGAAGAAGGGGAGGAAGGAGAAGAAGAGAAGAAGAAGAAAGGAAGGAGAGGAAGAAGAGAAGGGAAAGGAGGAGCUGCGGCUGCGGCGGUGGCAGCUGCAGCUGGAAGAGAAGGAGAGGAAGAGAUGGUGAGGAAGAAGAGAAGAAGUAGAAGCGGGUGAAGAGGCGGCACCUCUGUUUCCUGCAGGAGGAAACAGAGGAAAGGAGGUGCUGUUCGUCGGGGAGAAGAAGGGGGCUGCAGCUGCGGCGAUGGCAGCUGCAGCUGGAAGAGAAGAAGAAGAGGAAGAUGAGCAGGGGAGGAGGGAGAGGUUGCGGCCAUGCCUGCGGCCGCGACUGCAGCAGUUGCAGCGGGGAGAGAAGAAGAAGAAAGGAAGGAGAAGGAAGAGGAGAAGGGAAAGAAGUAGCUGCGGCUGCGGUUGUGGCAGCUGCAGCUGUGGCAGGGAAAGAGGAAGAGAAAAAGGAAAGGAAGAAGAAGAGAAAGGGAAGGAGAGGAAGAAGAGAGGAAGAGGAGAAGGGGUGGCAGCUGCGGUAGUGGCAGCUGUAGCUGGAAGAGGAGGAGGAAAUAGAGCAGGGGAGGAAGAAGUGGCUGCGAGUGUGGUGGCUGCGGCCGUGGCUGCGACUCCGGCUGCGGCUGCGACGUUGGCUGCGGCAGCGGUGGUGGCUGCAGUAGCUGCAGUAGCUGCUUUUGGGAAAGAGAAAGAGUAGGAACGAGAGAAGGGAAGAAGGAAAUAGUGUAGUGGAUGGGGGCUGCGGUUGUGACCGCAGUUGCGAUUGUGGCAGCGGCGGCGGCUGUGGCAGCUGCGUUUGGGAAAGAAAAAGAAGGAAUGAGAGUAAGAGAGAGCAGGUGACUGUGCCUCGAUGUUCGACACGUGGUGUAGUUGCGAAGAAAGGAAGAAAACGGGAGCACAAAACGAAACAGAGAGAGGACACGGAGGAAAAGUAGAAGGAUUUGGGCUGGCACCUUCUUUGGAUCUUCGGAUCGAAAUCUUUGAAAGGUCAGCUUGUUACUCUUCGAGAUGUUUGAUUUGGGCUGAGGCAGUGGAUAGCUAUUCAGAAUGAUGGGCAAGUCUGGUUGGUUAUUACGAUAUUGUUGUAUAAGUAUGUUUUGUAUGUAAUGAAAUGUUGUCGAUGAACCGAAAUGGAUAUACUGUGUCAAAGUGUUAGGAGAUAUCUCUUAUUUGGAAUUUCUGAAUGUUAAGCCUAAUUUAUAAUGAUAUGAACUUGUGGUGAA
Molecule: long non-coding RNA, 9477 nt
Organism: Musa acuminata AAA Group (dessert banana)
Lineage: Eukaryota; Viridiplantae; Streptophyta; Magnoliopsida; Zingiberales; Musaceae
Exons: 4
Source: RefSeq, a predicted model, not a curated record